This is a long non-coding RNA of Scophthalmus maximus (turbot), 900 nucleotides long. RefSeq lists it as uncharacterized. The transcript is spliced from 2 exons. NCBI's taxonomy places the organism in Eukaryota, Metazoa, Chordata, Actinopteri, Pleuronectiformes, Scophthalmidae. The record is from RefSeq and is a predicted model, not a curated record.
CUACGCCGAAAGAGAAAACACUACGCCAUCAACGUCUACCGGAAGGGGAGUGGUCUGUGUCACAUGGCUCUCGCCGAUUGGACGGGCCUUUCCUGGUGAGGCUGUGUUUACGCCGGUGGAACUAGUGCUCUCUGUAAAACCCGGCUUUUCAGCACAAACUGUCGGUGGUCUUUCCACUGUCGAUAAAAGCCCAGGGGCCGUAAUGCAGACUCAGAGCUAUAUCUGUUGUAUGACCGGCCUCCUCCAAAGAAGAGGCGUAAGAUGCGACCCCGGUUGAAAUGGCUAAUGUUAUUAACAGCACUGCUCACAGGAGCAGCGGCAGCCCCCAGCGUUCAAGUGACUGGAGAGUGGAGACAUGGAUGGUGGACUUCUGGACAGACCAGACCUGCUGGUGCUGCACAUCCCCUUUGAUCAACAUGUGUGUUCGCUCUGGACUCAGUGGGAGGAGCCUGAACAACACAUGACAGGAUGACCCAGUGUGAUCAGACCUGCUACUCCAAGCUUCAAAACAUUUCAGAUGCUUUGCUUUACACUGGCAUCCACACCCUGGACUCUGCUUGUCUACCCCAGAAAUUCUGUUUAUGGCCUUCAAAACUUACAUUUGCAUAGUCCGUGGGCCCUAUCGUUUAGACUAAGAUGCUACUGAAUAGUAAAUGACCGCUAAUUGCACCUUUCAUGAGUGGUAUCAGGUCCUGAAUGCAAUGUGUUCUAGGGGAAUGGUUGUUGCGUUGUCCAGGGACAGGUGAUAAUGUCAAAUCUACCAAGCAGUCUGGCGCUGUGGAGACGUCACAGCCACCGGGCGCACAGACCGAAGUGACUUGAUCCAGCUGUAUACUAAAAUUUCACAACAAAGAAAGUUGAAAACGUUUGUAAAUAAAAACACGAAGACAAUAUGGACAA